Molecule: ribosomal RNA, 410 nt
Filed under: uncultured microorganism
Description: bacterial SSU rRNA
Rfam family: Bacterial small subunit ribosomal RNA
Source: RNAcentral
GAGUUUGAUCCUGGCUCAGAUUGAACGCUGGCGGCAUGCCUUACACAUGCAAGUCGAACGGCAGCAUGAUCUAGCUUGCUAGAUUGAUGGCGAGUGGCGAACGGGUGAGUAAUACAUCGGAACGUGCCCUGUAGUGGGGAGUAACUAGUCGAAGAUUAGCUAAUACCGCAUACGACCUGAGGGUGGAAAGUAGGGGGACCGGCAAGGCCCCAUGCUAUAGGAGCGGCCGAUGUCUGAUUAGCUAGUUGGUGGGGUAAAGGGCCCACCAAGGCGACGAUCAGUAGCUGGUCUGAGAGGACGAUCAGCCACACUGGGACUGAGACACGGCCCAGACUCCUACGGGAGGCAGCAGUGGGGAAUUUUGGACAAUGGGCGAAAGCCUGAUCCAGCAAUGCCGCGUGUGUGAAGAA